GGGGAUGUAGUUCAGUUGGUAAAGUGCUUGCCUUGCAUGCACAAAGUCCUGGGUUCAAUUCCCAGCACCACCA
Molecule: non-coding RNA, 73 nt
Organism: Ictidomys tridecemlineatus (thirteen-lined ground squirrel)
Lineage: Eukaryota; Metazoa; Chordata; Mammalia; Rodentia; Sciuridae
Source: Rfam